This 498-nucleotide ribosomal RNA is filed under the name uncultured bacterium. RNAcentral describes it as "partial 16S ribosomal RNA". It matches the Rfam family "Bacterial small subunit ribosomal RNA", at positions 30 to 523 of the family's 1533-position model. The record is from RNAcentral.
AUUGAACGCUGGCGGCAUGCCUUACACAUGCAAGUCGAACGGUAACAGGUCUUCGGAUGCUGACGAGGGGCGAACGGGUAAGUAAUACAUCGGAACGUGCCUAGUAGUGGGGGAUAACUACUCGAAAGAGUGGCUAAUACCGCAUGAGAUCUACGGAUGAAAGCAGGGGAUCGCAAGACCUUGUGCUACUAGAGCGGCCGAUGGCAGAUUAGGUAGUUGGUGGGAUAAAAGCUUACCAAGCCGACGAUCUGUAGCUGGUCUGAGAGGACGAUCAGCCACACUGGGACGGAGACACGGCCCAGACUCCUACGGGAGGCAGCAGUGGGGAAUUUUGGACAAUGGGCGCAAGCCUGAUCCAGCAAUGCCGCGUGCAGGAUGAAGGCCUUCGGGUUGUAAACUGCUUUUGUACGGAACGAAAAGCCCUGGGUUAAUACCCUGGGGUCAUGACGGUACCGUAAGAAUAAGCACCGGCUAACUACGUGCCAGCCGCCGCCGUAA